UUAAAUUGAAGAGUUUGAUCAUGGCUCAGAUUGAACGCUGGCGGCAGGCCUAACACAUGCAAGUCGAGCGGUAGCACAGGAGAGCUUGCUCUCCGGGUGACGAGCGGCGGACGGGUGAGUAAUGUCUGGGAAACUGCCUGAUGGAGGGGGAUAACUACUGGAAACGGUAGCUAAUACCGCAUAACGUCUACGGACCAAAGUGGGGGACCUUCGGGCCUCACGCCAUCAGAUGUGCCCAGAUGGGAUUAGCUAGUAGGUGGGGUAAUGGCUCACCUAGGCGACGAUCCCUAGCUGGUCUGAGAGGAUGACCAGCCACACUGGAACUGAGACACGGUCCAGACUCCUACGGGAGGCAGCAGUGGGGAAUAUUGCACAAUGGGCGCAAGCCUGAUGCAGCCAUGCCGCGUGUGUGAAGAAGGCCUUAGGGUUGUAAAGCACUUUCAGCGAGGAGGAAGGGUUCAGUGUUAAUAGCACUGUACAUUGACGUUACUCGCAGAAGAAGCACCGGCUAACUCCGUGCCAGCAGCCGCGGUAAUACGGAGGGUGCAAGCGUUAAUCGGAAUUACUGGGCGUAAAGCGCACGCAGGCGGUUUGUUAAGUCAGAUGUGAAAUCCCCGCGCUUAACGUGGGAACUGCAUUUGAAACUGGCAAGCUAGAGUCUUGUAGAGGGGGGUAGAAUUCCAGGUGUAGCGGUGAAAUGCGUAGAGAUCUGGAGGAAUACCGGUGGCGAAGGCGGCCCCCUGGACAAAGACUGACGCUCAGGUGCGAAAGCGUGGGGAGCAAACAGGAUUAGAUACCCUGGUAGUCCACGCUGUAAACGAUGUCGAUUUGGAGGUUGUGCCCUUGAGGCGUGGCUUCCGGAGCUAACGCGUUAAAUCGACCGCCUGGGGAGUACGGCCGCAAGGUUAAAACUCAAAUGAAUUGACGGGGGCCCGCACAAGCGGUGGAGCAUGUGGUUUAAUUCGAUGCAACGCGAAGAACCUUACCUACUCUUGACAUCCAGAGAAUUCGCUAGAGAUAGCUUAGUGCCUUCGGGAACUCUGAGACAGGUGCUGCAUGGCUGUCGUCAGCUCGUGUUGUGAAAUGUUGGGUUAAGUCCCGCAACGAGCGCAACCCUUAUCCUUUGUUGCCAGCGAUUCGGUCGGGAACUCAAAGGAGACUGCCGGUGAUAAACCGGAGGAAGGUGGGGAUGACGUCAAGUCAUCAUGGCCCUUACGAGUAGGGCUACACACGUGCUACAAUGGCGUAUACAAAGAGAAGCGAACUCGCGAGAGCAAGCGGACCUCAUAAAGUACGUCGUAGUCCGGAUUGGAGUCUGCAACUCGACUCCAUGAAGUCGGAAUCGCUAGUAAUCGUAGAUCAGAAUGCUACGGUGAAUACGUUCCCGGGCCUUGUACACACCGCCCGUCACACCAUGGGAGUGGGUUGCAAAAGAAGUAGGUAGCUUAACCUUCGGGAGGGCGCUUACCACUUUGUGAUUCAUGACUGGGGUGAAGUCGUAACAAGGUAACCGUAGGGGAACCUGCGGUUGGAUCACCUCCUUA
Molecule: ribosomal RNA, 1544 nt
Filed under: Serratia sp. AS13
Lineage: Bacteria; Pseudomonadati; Pseudomonadota; Gammaproteobacteria; Enterobacterales; Yersiniaceae
Description: 16S ribosomal RNA
Rfam family: Bacterial small subunit ribosomal RNA
Source: RNAcentral